AAACCAACAGGGAUUACCUUAGUAACGGCGAGUGAAGCGGUAAGAGCUCAAAUUUGAAAUCUAGCACUUUCAGUGUUCGAGUUGUAAUUUGAAGAAGGUAACUUUGGAGUUGGCCCUUGUCUAUGUUCCUUGGAACAGGACGUCACAGAGGGUGAGAAUCCCGUGCGAUGGGGUGUCCAACUCUAUGUAAAGUGCUUUCGAAGAGUCGAGUUGUUUGGGAAUGCAGCUCUAAGUGGGUGGUAAAUUCCAUCUAAAGCUAAAUAUUGGCGAGAGACCGAUAGCGAACAAGUACAGUGAUGGAAAGAUGAAAAGAACUUUGAAAAGAGAGUGAAAAAGUACGUGAAAUUGUUGAAAGGGAAGGGCUUUAGAUCAGACUUGGUGUUUAGUACUCUUCACUCCUUGUGGGUGGAGCUCUUGCUUUAUACUGGGCCAGCAUCGGUUUGGAUGGUAGGAUAAUAGCAUUGGAACGUGGCUUCGCUUCGGUGGAGUGUUAUAGCCUUUGUUGAUACUACCUAUCUAGACCGAGGACUGCGUCUUUUGACUAGGAUGCUGGCGUAAUGAUCCAAAGCCGC
This 572-nucleotide ribosomal RNA is filed under the name Peterozyma xylosa. RNAcentral describes it as "eukaryotic LSU rRNA". It matches the Rfam family "Eukaryotic large subunit ribosomal RNA", at positions 62 to 648 of the family's 3401-position model. RNAcentral also lists the same sequence under 3 other names. Lineage: Eukaryota; Fungi; Ascomycota; Pichiomycetes; Alaninales; Pachysolenaceae. The record is from RNAcentral.